Molecule: long non-coding RNA, 393 nt
Filed under: Hordeum vulgare
Lineage: Eukaryota; Viridiplantae; Streptophyta; Magnoliopsida; Poales; Poaceae
Description: long non-coding RNA (HVUL_LNC009214)
Source: RNAcentral
UUUCAUGGGGUGUAGUCCCCGAUACUGUCAUCGACUGAAGCCGUCGGCGGUAGUCUUAGUUUCUACAUUGAUUUGACGCGGAUUGUCAGGGUGCAGAACACAUUUCUUUGCUUGUGGCAGCAUCUGACCACUUGUCUUUCCAAUGGGGACGCGUUGAGCGCACCCACUAGGUGUAGUCCCCGAGACUGUCGUCGACUGGAGCAGUCAGCGGUACUCUUAGAGUCUCUUUUGCUUAUAUGUGACUGAUGUCUUAUCGUGUGUUCCCUUUCCCAUCGGUAGAGUGGUUUGAGCUCGGGAGCCACUAUAGUGCCAUCAAGAAGGGGGUGAAGUACCCGCGCCUCAGCCUUGAGGUCGAGAAGAAUAAGAGCAAGCACUUGGAACAUGGGAAGCACU